UCUGCAUGCUGUAUUUCUCUGCACCUGUGUCUGAGUUGUACCACCAUUAACGUCACAAAUACUUUUUUUUUCUUCAAACAUGUUAAUUCAAAUGCAUGGCAGAAUUUUCAAAAUACAUUCCAAUAUUAAACUACUUCUGUUUUUAAAUUUAAAAAAUCCUAAUAUUUUCUUCUAAAUGUCUUUGAAAAUAAGUGAAAGACCCCAAAUAGUAUUUUAAAUAAAGUCUGAUAUUCAGUGGACAAACCUGCCUAGUGGGAACCAAGACAUCUGAUGUUGAAAAUGCAUUUUUUUAUUUUUAUAUUUGACUUGAAUUUAUGAAGAACACUGAAGUUAAUUGUUUUACCUAAAAUCGGCCAGUAAGUGAGACCUGAACCUAUAACCAUCCACUUCAUUCUCUCUGUAUGUCUUUGUGUAACAAGUUACUGUAGAGGUUCUGAAGCUUGUACCAUGACCAAGGACUAGAUUCAAUCCAUAUUGAGCCCCAUAUGCAGCCUUUAAAUUUCACUUGUGUGGAUCUUCAGAGGUCCAAUUUGAAUCCAGGCCAAAAACCAUGGAGAUGAACUAAACAAGUGCAAGAAACAAACACUAGAAAACAUCCACUGUGUCAUGUCAUUUGUUCCUCUUCCUGUCAGAUCUCUGCCAGUCUACAGAAACAAGAGCAGCAGACAAAUUUCAUCAUUAUGAUCUCCGCCAUCACAAAGGGCCAGAAACAAACAGAUGGCCUCAAAUUUAUUUAAAAAAUGUAUCUAGGCAAGUCAGUUAAGAACAAAUGAUUAUAUUCAAUGACGGCCUAGGAACAGUCGGUUAACUGUCUUGUUCAGAGGCAGAAUGACAGAUUUUUACCUUAUCAACUCUCGGAUUCGAUCUUGGAACCUAUCGGUUACUAGUCCAACGCGCUAACAACUAGGCUACCUGCCGCCCCAACGGAGAAAAAAAGGUUGCUGCUGAAAGCGGAGAGUGAGGUACAGAAGAUGGAGAAGAAAUUGGAGGAGGAGGUCACUGGGAUGGAGCUCACAUUGCAGGGUGAAGAACCUGGGAGGUUGCUUCAGGAUUACAAUGCCCUGCAGAAAGGCUCAGUUGAUGCAUCUCCAUACUGUGUCAGUCUGGACCCAGAGAAGAGAGUUGUUCAGGCAGGAUAAAGAGAGAUGCUCCACAUGGAGGUGGACAGGAUCUGGAAGGACCAAGGUUCUGCCGCUAGGACAGCUUUACGUGUAGAUCCUACAGCUUCUUAUGCUUCACUGUCCACACUGAAACAAUGUGUGCCAGAAGAGGAGCUGGGGGAGGAUUGGGAGUAGAGACGGGGACCUAUGAGGACGUUGGAGUUUCCUACCUCAGAGAAAUUAUAUUUUACUGGGACACCUUGUCUCUCUGUUAACCAAGGAGACCUUAGACCUCGUCAGGUCCGAAGUAGCAGACCACCCGUCUCCCAGGGACCGUAGGAUGCCCAACGUCAAAGAGAUGAUUCCACGUCUUACGGAGGACGACGAUGUGGAGGCCUAUCUUCUGGCCUGCGAACGAACGACGCAGAGAGAGAGAUGACCUCCGGAUGACUGGACGGGCCUCUUGGCUCCCCUGAUCACAGGCAAAGCCCAGGCGGUGUACUAUGACAUUGAGGAAGGGGUUGCUAUUUAUUACGCACGUCUGAAGCCAGAGAUUCAGUCCCGCUAUCAGCUGAACCCCAGAGACCGGGCCCAAAGGUUUCAUGACUGGAAGUCACCGAGGGGCCAGCUCUAUCAGCUUCUUUGUCUGUUCCAUCUCCGACCCUACAGGCUACCAGAAGCACGCCGGGAGAUGGUACGGAAAGAGGGGAGGGAGAUGUUGAAGAUGGGGGUCAUCGAGCCAUCCUCCAGCGACUGGUCCAGCCCUAUCACCCUGGUGCUGAAACCCGAUUGGUCUAUUCGCUUCUGCAACGAUUUCAGAGCCCUCAACGCCAUCUCCAGGUUUGACGCCUACCCCAUGCCUACCCCAUCGACCUCAUAAAGGGCUACUGGCAGAUGCCUCUGGCCCCCGAAGACCAUCACAAAUCCACCUUUGCCACUCCGGAUGGAUUAUUUCAGUACGUUCACCUACCCUUUGGCUUGCACGGAUUAUCUGCCACCUUCGAGUGGAUUAUGGACACGCUGUUAUGUCCUCAUCAGGCCUUCGCCGCCUUUAUUGAUGACGUGUUAAUACACAGUGAGGACUGGGAGGACCACCUCCGCCAGCUGCGCUCUGUGCUGGCCAGCCAACCCAAAGAAGUGCCAACUGGGACUGAACGUGGCUGAAUACCUCGGCUACAUUAUCGGCAGCGGUCUGAUCAAACCACAGGUGGAGAAGACUUUGAAGUGUCCGCCACAUUGUUGAGAGCCCCCAGCUUUCCAGCAGCCCUCCACGGUCCACGCCUCCAGCACCGGCUUGGGGGCUGUUCUGUCCCAAGGGUACAGGCGGAGGAGCCCAAGAAGUGACUGGACAUGUUUUUACAUUUAACCUUUAUUUAACUAGGCUAGCCAGUUAAGAACAAAUUCGUAUUUACAAUGACGGCCUCCCCCGGCCAAACCCUGAAGUCACCCUAUGGGACUCCCGAUCACAGCCAGAUCUGAUGCAGCCUGGAUUUGAACCAAGGACUGCAGUGAUGCCUCUUGUACUGAAAUGCAAUGCCUCAGACCGCUGUGCCAUUGGGACAACCCAGGUCACUCAAGAAAUAGGACUCUUUAGCCAGCACAUUUGGACAACCUGUGAUUGCGAAGUUGCCACACAACUAAAUAUGCUACUGCAAAACAUUUUUAAGCUUUUUUAAACUCUCACUCUACCUCAAUAUUUACUGAUUGAUUGAUUCUACAUUGAACAAAAAUAUAAACGCAACAUGUAAAGUGUUGGUCUCAUGUUUCAUGAGCUGAAGUACAAGAUCCCAGAAAUGUUCUAUACUGUU
Molecule: long non-coding RNA, 2908 nt
Organism: Salvelinus namaycush (lake trout)
Lineage: Eukaryota; Metazoa; Chordata; Actinopteri; Salmoniformes; Salmonidae
Exons: 6
Source: RefSeq, a predicted model, not a curated record